UCACAAGGAAAGCUGAGCAGGCAAUUGCUGCCCCGCCCACUCUGGGAAGAGGGGCGGGGCCGCCGGCUCCAGAGGGACCGAAGCGGCGGGGCCGCCGGAUCCAGGGACAAUGGGGUGGGGCGGGCUUUCCUUGGGUGGGCGCAGCGGCUUCCUGGGUCCCCCUCACGCUCUGGGUCAGAGUUCCUUUACAGACGGACCUGAGAGGCAACUCACCGACUCCUGCCCUGGACCCUCCUGCGCCACUGAACCCCCUGACCUGGGAGCCUCGGAACCUAGGGCUCAGGAGAUGAACCAGGACUUAUCCGAAGGUACCAAGUGAACUUCUAGGAAAAGUCCAAUUCUCAGAUGCUGGAUGUCUUCCAAAAAUGAAGCAAAUUAGUAACUUAGUAGCUGAGUCAACUAAUCCUGUUAGAUGGUCAACACUGAUUUUUUUAUUUUAAUAUUUUUAAGUGGCAACUCUAGUGUGUGAGAAAAUUAAUGUGACAGCUGAAUUUGUAGAAAGCUGCUUUGACUCUCUUGGGCCCCUUCAUAAGCCCUGGAACUAAAUAAAAGUCUAGUGAAUACAGCCCCGCCACCCUCAAGCCACACCCCAUUGAUCAUUUGCUGAAGAUUUUAGUACCUGGCUCUGGCCUGCUUUCCACAGUCAACACUCACAUCAAGGCACCUGGAUCUCUUCUCCACCGGCAAUCCUGCCUUCCGCCUUCAG
Molecule: long non-coding RNA, 706 nt
Organism: Gorilla gorilla gorilla (western lowland gorilla)
Lineage: Eukaryota; Metazoa; Chordata; Mammalia; Primates; Hominidae
Exons: 3
Source: RefSeq, a predicted model, not a curated record